Molecule: long non-coding RNA, 111 nt
Organism: Ipomoea nil (Japanese morning glory)
Lineage: Eukaryota; Viridiplantae; Streptophyta; Magnoliopsida; Solanales; Convolvulaceae
Exons: 3
Source: RefSeq, a predicted model, not a curated record
GUGUUCCUUUAAGCGAAGUUACAGCAGCAUAAGCCAUUUGCCUCUGUCUAUGUGGUAGCUUAUCAGAGCAGAACAAAGAAGAAAUGAAAGAUUAUAUCUCUUGAAGCUUUA